GUUGACCUCGAAUCAGUAGACACC
Molecule: ribosomal RNA, 24 nt
Filed under: Metarhizium anisopliae
Lineage: Eukaryota; Fungi; Ascomycota; Sordariomycetes; Hypocreales; Clavicipitaceae
Description: partial 28S ribosomal RNA
Source: RNAcentral